ACCUGGCUGGCUCAGUUGGUAGAGCAUGUGACUCUUAAUCUCAGGGUCAUGGAUUGGAGCUCCAUGCUGGGCG
RNAcentral lists this transfer RNA (73 nucleotides) under Mustela putorius furo (domestic ferret). RNAcentral describes it as "tRNA-Lys (CTT) (tRNA-Lys-CTT-32-1)". It matches the Rfam family "tRNA". From Rfam's summary of the family: Transfer RNA (tRNA) molecules are approximately 80 nucleotides in length. Their secondary structure includes four short double-helical elements and three loops (D, anti-codon, and T loops). Further hydrogen bonds mediate the characteristic L-shaped molecular structure. tRNAs have two regions of fundamental functional importance: the anti-codon, which is responsible for specific mRNA codon recognition, and the 3' end, to which the tRNAs corresponding amino acid is attached (by aminoacyl-tRNA synthetases). tRNAs cope with the degeneracy of the genetic code in two manners: having more than one tRNA (with a specific anti-codon) for a particular amino acid; and 'wobble' base-pairing, i.e. permitting non-standard base-pairing at the 3rd anti-codon position. Lineage: Eukaryota; Metazoa; Chordata; Mammalia; Carnivora; Mustelidae. The record is from Rfam by way of RNAcentral.